AGUAACUCGACUCUCGUAAUUCCUUUACAGUGGUGCCAACUGCAACACUCCCAGGGUUUUUUAGCCAAACAACGUAUUCACAUUAUCGGUUACGGCAUCAGGAAAUGCUAAUCUAAAAUUCCCACGCUGCAAGAACAGCAGGGGCGUAUGCGUGAUAAAAAAAAGCUACUGCUGUGUCAUCCAAACAAGUAACAGCCAUGGAAAUAGCACCACAGGCACAAAGAUGCGAGCGGGUGCCAGUGCCAUAGAGACUCACCACUUGUGUGAGUUCUGCCAUUGCCACAGGCGGCGCUGAGGAUGAAGACAGGCGGCGCUGAGGAUGAAGAUUUCGACUUUGCCUUGGCCAAUUACUGGCAGAGUACAAUUUGCCAAUGACCAUAUGACAACGGACAGAAGCCUACUUGGAAGAUAGAAGAAGCACAGCUUUGGCCCACUCGGUUAUAGACCAUCGUCCGGGGCUGACUUAGACAGGGAAUGUCAUUUGUUGUAAAUUGCAUUUCCUAUGUACUGCAAAGUUUAUCUACAAUUAUUUGCACUUAGCCAUUGAGGGUCAUUUUGUGUUGUAUUGCAGGCAGUGUUGCAGACUUAAUUAUUCAACAAGCCUCAAAGAUAAAUAAAGUUUUUAACUCA
Schistocerca serialis cubense is the source of this 630-nucleotide long non-coding RNA. RefSeq lists it as uncharacterized. The transcript is spliced from 3 exons. Lineage: Eukaryota; Metazoa; Arthropoda; Insecta; Orthoptera; Acrididae. The record is from RefSeq and is a predicted model, not a curated record.